GAUGAACGCUGGCGGCGUGCCUAACACAUGCAAGUCGAGCGAAGCGCCUUACUUGAUUUCUUCGGGAUGAAAGUAUUGUGACUGAGCGGGCGUCGGGUGAAGGUACGCGUAGAGUAACCUGCUCAUACAGGGGGGUAACAGUUAGAAAUGGCUGCUAAUACCGCAUAAGACCACGGUACUGCAUGGUACAGUGGUAAAAACUCCGGUGGUAUGAGAUGGACCCGCGUCUGAUUAGGUAGUUGGUGAGGUAACGGCCCACCAAGCCGACGAUCAGUAGCCGACCUGAGAGGGUGACCGGCCACAUUGGGACUGAGACACGGCCCAG
Molecule: ribosomal RNA, 325 nt
Filed under: uncultured bacterium
Lineage: Bacteria
Description: bacterial SSU rRNA
Rfam family: Bacterial small subunit ribosomal RNA
Source: RNAcentral